AGUCUCAGCAAGACCCCAUAUAUUAAAGUUGUAAUGAUACAGAUCAGAGAAGAUUAGCAUGGUUCCUGCACAAAGAUGACAUGCAAAAUUGUGAAUAAAUUUAUCUUAUU
This is a small nuclear RNA of Psammomys obesus (fat sand rat), 110 nucleotides long. NCBI's taxonomy places the organism in Eukaryota, Metazoa, Chordata, Mammalia, Rodentia, Muridae. The record is from RefSeq and is a predicted model, not a curated record.